GUCAUGGAAGGCAGAGCUAGGGUUGAGGCUCUGAUGUUGCUGAUUCCCACAUGAGGAGGAACCAAGGUGACUGAAGAUUUACCUGAUUGAUUUUCGGAUUGCCCCUGCAUAAGGAAGCAGAGGAGGACAGGUGGUGGCAGAGUUCCUGAUAAUGAAACAACAGGUCCUCCCUUGGGCUCAGUGGCCUCCUUCAUCAUGUUACUGGCUGCAGUGGACUUAGGAAUGCUGUGAACACAGGGGAUAGAGAAUGACUCAGAGCAGAAAUCUCUAGGCCAGUGGGGAGCAGGCGUUUCAUCAGGUCCAGAUGCAAAUGUUCAGUUGUCUCCUUGGCUCCUACCUGCAAUGGCAUGGGGAUGUCUUUUCCUUGGGAACGCACCUCUAGGCUCAUGGAGAGAAGAGCUGCACAGGUGUAGGGUGGACAGAGAUAACUGGAGCAACCAAGUGAAUUGCUAAGGUCUCCUGAUAAGGAGGUAAGAGGCUGGGCACUAAGGGAACCCAGGUUUGCAGAGUCAGGGUUCCGACUGCAGAAUUCUCCACAUUAGCGUGAGGAGCGCGUCUCCUUCGCGACAGCCUCCUGCCCAAAU
Molecule: long non-coding RNA, 584 nt
Organism: Balaenoptera ricei (Rice's whale)
Lineage: Eukaryota; Metazoa; Chordata; Mammalia; Artiodactyla; Balaenopteridae
Exons: 4
Source: RefSeq, a predicted model, not a curated record